Long non-coding RNA from Homo sapiens (human), 3441 nucleotides. RefSeq lists it as uncharacterized. NCBI's taxonomy places the organism in Eukaryota, Metazoa, Chordata, Mammalia, Primates, Hominidae. The record is from RefSeq and is a predicted model, not a curated record. The transcript has 2 exons.
GCUGUGCUGUACCUGUCCCGCAGGUUGCCGCUGCGCAGCCCCAUGGCCGUGCACUCAGCCUCGCUCACCGGCACCCCUUUGCAGGAUUUCACCGGGUAGAUCCAGAGCUUCGCCACGGUGCCCACCUGCUGCAGCCGCCGGCGCCGCCUGGGCCAUGCGCGGCGCCAGGCGACAGUCCCCAGGGCCACGGCGGCCAGUCCUAGCGCGGCGACCCCGAGCCACCUGGGCCAGGGCCGGGCUGGGAGGCCGAGGCGGGCCAGCGCGGAGGAGCUGGAAGCGCCCAUGGCAGAGCGAGGGCGGGCGCGGACCGGCGCACAGACCCGGCAGCGACCGGAGACCGGGAGGACGAGGAGGCCCUUAAGGAUCCGGGCAGGCGAGAGGAGUCAAAGUUGACCCAACUACGGACCCUCUCACACUUUCACCGCCGAGACGGCAGAGCAGUUCCGCGGAGAGCGGGAAUGCCUUAAUGCGGUGACCAAGCCUGCGCGGUAAUGGAGGAAGACAGGCAGACAGCGGCGGGGGUACCCUGGGCGCCGUGGGAGCGACGCCGCCCAAAGCAAGCGAGCUAAUGGGGCGGCCUCUGGGGUGGUCAGUGUCUCCUCCCUCUUCCCCGCCCCUACAACACGACAGUUACCCAUGCAACAUGACCUUCAGCGCCAGCACUCUGCCACCCCCUUCUCUGCUAAUACUGCACGCUUAGUCGCUCGACAAGAUCACCGCAGAACGUGAAGGCGGGUUGCCCAACGGAGGAUUUACAAACAUUUGGGAACGACUUUUUCUGGCAGGUCGCUGUGAGAACUGCAGGACUUUCUGCACACAAAGACACAGUCUAAACCUCUGCACUCAAAGACGAGGAACUCUAGCGUGGCUUAUAGGAGCAUGACUCAAGGUCCCCCACCCUCCGCUGCCGCCUAACCUCGACCCCAGUAAAAUGUCUUCCCGAGAAAGCUCAAGGCAGCCAGGAGAAUUCCCCGUUUAUUCUAGCCAACACCCGAUGAUAUUGAUCAUUCACCAGGCUUCGUCCUAGAUUGGCACUGGGGAUUUAAAGUUUAGAAGAAGCUGCCCUUCCAUCCAGUUCACUGACUCCCCAGAAGACUGACACCUCCCCUGCAAGUCUAGAGGAUAAUGUCAGAGGAGAAGCAAGGUCAAGAUGCAGAGGAUGCAGAGGCAAAAGAGCAGCUGAAUCUCAGGACAGUGCUGUUUUCAGAGGGCGGAGCUUUGGAGCUGAGACUUGAACAUGAGGAGGGGCUUGGAGAUGGGUAAAGGAGAGGAUUCUGGGCAAAAGGAGCAGCACGUGCAAUAGCCUGAAAAAAUGGAAGGAACAAGAGAGUGUGGCAUGUUUGGGCAACCACCAGCAAUCCAGCUGUAUUAGGAUGUACCUGUGCAUGCAGCAGGUGGCGGGAGUUGAGGCAGGACAGGUGGGCAGAGGUCAGAUCAACAGGCAUCUUAUCUCUACUUAAUGUGGAGACACCUCAGAAUUCUGAACAACAGUCUGGCAUGAUUAGACUUGGGUGCUAGGAAGGCCAUUCUGGCUGCUCUGAGAAAGAGUAACACCAAAGAUGGUUAGAUGAGUUGCAAAUGCCCUAGUUCAGGCUGAUGUAAUUCCAAAUCAAGGAAAAAUAACAGUGGGGCUGGAGAUAGACAUGUGGUUAGGAGAGAUGGUCAGGGGACAGAAUUAACAAGAGAUAGUGAUGACAGAACACAGAGCCAGAGGGAGAGGAAGAGCCCACGGGGCCUCCUGGCUCUGUGGCAUAAAAGUCUGGGGUGGGAUGGGGGUACCAUUCUCAGAGAUUAAGAAUUCAAGAGAAGCUGGGCACAGUGGCUCACACCUGUAAUCCCAGCACUUUGGGAGGCCGAGGUGGGCGGAUCAGGAGGUCAGGAUAUCGAGACCAUCCUGGCUCACAUAGUGAAACCCCGUCUCUACUAAAAAUACAAAAAAUUAGCCAGGCAUGGUGGUGGGCAUCUGUAGUCCCAGCUACUUGGGAGGCUGAGGCAGGAGAAUGGUGUGAACCCAGGAGGCGGAGCUUUCAGUGAGCCGAGAUCGCGCCACUGCACUCCAGCCUGGGCGACAGAGAGAGACUCCGUCUCAAAAAAAAAAAAAAGAGAAUUCAAGAGAAGAAGAUAGUCUGGGAAAAAAGAUGAUGAGCCUAUUGUGAACAGCGAGUGAGAGGUAUCUUUGAGACAUCAAAGAAGAAAUAGUUACCUAGAUAGAUGGGUAACUUGACCUUUCCAUGCUUCCACCUCCUCAUGUGCAAAAUGAUGGGGAUAGACAUCAAGUGAGGAACUUUGCCAUGGUGAGUGCUGCCAAGUCUUUGCUGUCUUCACCAGCCAUUAUCUAUCAUAGCCUGCCCUGUUUAAGCUUCACCAAUGCUGGGGUUGGGGGUGCCUUCAGGGGAGCAGGGAAAUUCCUUAUCAGUAAUGUGUACAUUUGCAGCCCAGCAUCUUCAUUUGUAGAAUUAGUGAGGGGUGAUGAGAGGCUGUAUUAGUCCAUUCUCACACUGCUAUAAUGAAAUACCUGAAGCUGGGUCAUUUAUCAAGAAAAAAUGUUUAAUUGGCUCAUAGUUCUGCAGUCUGUACAGGAAGAACGGCGGCUUCUGCUUCUGGGAGACCUCAGGGAGCUUUUACUCAUGGUGGAAGACAAAGCAGCAGUGGAUGUCUUACAUGAUAGGAGCAGGACCCAGAGAGAGGGGGGAGGUUCCACAUGCUUUUAAACAGCCAGAUCUCAUGAGAACUCACUCUCAGGAUGAUAGCACCAAGGGGAAUGGUAUUAAACCAUGAGAAACCAGCCCCAUGAUCCAAUCACCUCCCAGCAGGCCUUAACUCCAACACUGAGGGUUGCAAUUGAACAUGAGAUUUGGUUGGGGACACAGAUCCAAACCAUAUCAAAGGUUGAGGAUUCAUGAGUCUAAUUGGCUGUUUGCAUAUCUUUUUUCCCUUCUGAUUUGAAUCAACUUAUCUAUUUUUUUGUUAAUUUAUAAGAUCCUUUUAUAAAUUAAGAAAAUUACCCUUUUAUCAUGCCUUCCCAAGUCAUAACUUUUUCCCCUAGUUUGUCAUAUUUUGGCAACUUCUGCUUAGGAAAAAUCUUUCUAGUGAAUAAGACAUCAUUGUCUGCCUAGAGGCACUGACAUAGAUAAAGAAAACUCUGUCAAUUAAAAUAUCAACCAAGAAACCAGAGAAAAAAAGAAGCCUAAAACCCAAAUAUUACCUUGCUUAGCCAGGUCCUCUUCAGGAAGGUGAGUACCCAGCAGCCAAUGGAAGUAUUCAUCAGGGCCAUGUAGCAGUUUGUCUUUCCUGGGGAGAUGAGCACAUCAGAUUAUCAGGCAGUGAGGAUAGUCAACCUUCAACCCAUAUAACAAAUCUCAUGACGCAGGCUAGGCUAAAAUAUUGUAACAACCUCAACAUCUCAAUGCUCUAACAAAAUAAAAGUUUAUUUCUCACUUA